UGUAAGUUCAGCACACUUAAUGAAUGAUAAGUUUUAUUGUCAUUUAAUAAGCAGAAUUUGUGAAUACUGAAUUGAUUGUCUGAAGUUGUAAUCUUAUUUUUUCCCUCUUUCCCGAGUUUAAGCAAUCUUGGAGAAAAAAGGAAAGAGUAAACUAUUAUAUUGGUUGUUCUUAUUUACUUUUAUCCAAAAUCAGCUACUUUUUGCUUAUAAAAUUGUGCAAUUAGUUAGUCUCGAUUUACUUUUGAUCAGGCCUUUGUUUUAUUUUUUUUCGAUUUUCUUGUUUGUGAAAGAGCUUGCUAUCAUAUGUUGAUCUCUUUCUGCUUGUCUGUGGAUUUUGUUUAUGUAUAGUAUAACAUUAUGGCAAGGAAGAUGCUUUUUGAUGGGAAGCUAAGCAUUCCUGAUGGGUAGGAGACUCACAAGGACCUUGAUUUGUUUGUGAUUGGAGCUGCAGUGGUGGAGUUCGUGCCUCACAAUUUCCUAGUCUAUAACUCAUUUUUCGUUUAGUCUACGCACCAUUUGUGCUAAAAUUCUAAUGGACAUUUGUAACUAAGAUAUUAAGGUGCAUUGACACAUUUCGUGGUUAAAUAUAGGUUAUUUAAAUUAAUGUAAUGAUUAUUAAUAAUUAUUUUAUAUGCAAUGACAAUUACCUUUUGUAGUUAAUAUUGUAUAUUGUGAA
This 676-nucleotide long non-coding RNA is filed under the name Olea europaea subsp. europaea. The record is from RNAcentral. Lineage: Eukaryota; Viridiplantae; Streptophyta; Magnoliopsida; Lamiales; Oleaceae.